Molecule: long non-coding RNA, 1804 nt
Organism: Aegilops tauschii subsp. strangulata
Lineage: Eukaryota; Viridiplantae; Streptophyta; Magnoliopsida; Poales; Poaceae
Source: RefSeq, a predicted model, not a curated record
CACGGCCGGGGCCUCCACCGCCGCUCCACGCCCCCAUCCUCCUCCUCCGCCGCCGCCGCUCCCAGCCUCCAUCCUCCGCCGCUCCACGCCCCCCCACUCUUCGCCCGCUCCUCUUGUGCUGCCCCACGGACGCCAGCUCGGGCCGCCGCCGCCAACCGCUGGCACCCCACCGCCGCCCGCCGAUCCUAAACUCGGGCGUCGCUCCAAUCGCCUGCCGUCGCCGCUCCACUCGGCCUCCACCACCGAUCCUCCACUCGCCCACAGUUGCCGUUCAACUUGAUCUCCUCCGCCGAUCCUCCACUUCACGGCCGGCCACUUAUACGGAAUCUGCACUUUCCCAUAAUACCACGAUGGACUCCUCAAGUGGCAAGAAAAUUACUACGCAAUAGCUUGUGAACUUUUCAAGGAUGUUUUGAAUGAUCCACUAAUAUCCGAAAUUCAGAUGAAGAAUCAUCACCCACCUGCAUCCCCGUUAGGAUCAGGGGAAUGUUCCCUGUUUGAAGAUCUGGCGAAUACGCCUACUCAUGUUAAUGCAAAUCAAGCGGGAGUUGGCCUGCGGUUCUGUUGGUCUUCCCCAUCUCAGGGGUUGGGACUUGAGAGGCCGCGUAUAUGAGAUCCGAGAGGCACAUGGUUGUUUAUUCAUCGACUACGGUGCCGCUGCAUGGGGAGAACGGCUAUGGCUGACGCCUCCAUCUCUCUAAACGAUGCUGACACCAUAUUAUAAAUGACGCUGCCGACGACUCCUCUCAGACCGACCCUGGACGGUACAAUCUGGUUAUGCAAAUCUUCGUGUCUUACUACUGAGGAAUAUCCGUCUAUGAAGGCAAAUCAUGUUUACUUACUGAUGAUAGUGUGUUUUGGACAAUUGGGUUCGAGAAUAAUUGUGGUGAUUUGGAAAUUCUUAACUUGGAUAAUAACACAAGGAACGAACUUGUGUCUCCUCAACUUUCUGUUACGGACCUAAAUCAAGCAGAGGCCAGAAUCACCUUCUAAGGUCUCUCGUUCGCUUCAUAGCAUCGGAAGAAGGAUAUAAAUUCAGGUUACACCCUUGGGUGCAUGAAGGAGGAAGUGGGUGAGAUAUAGAUGGAAGCAGGAUUGGGACGAGAGAUAGAGGUAAUCCAGCAAAAGGGCGAGGACCAAAGAGGUAGGUGAUUCAAAUUCAGGUCACCGUCGUUUCCUUUGAUGCUUCGCCUUGAAGUCUUUCCUCUGGUUAAGUAGCCUACCGAGUCGAAGGAGGCCACAGAAGCUUGUAUCUUCUGGGUUGGACUUUGUCUUCUUCAGGGUUGGUGGCGAUGGCUGGUGCUUGUAAUUUUGCAGCCCUUGCCAGUGUCGUGGUGGGAGGACUGCCAUGAAAGGUACUGGAGCAAGAUUUCUUAUAUCUGGGUGAGGGCAUCAAUCAAUGUUGGGACAAGGAAUCUCAUCACUGCAACAAUAUAUAGCUACCACAUUGGACCAGGCGCGUUUAUCUUGAGCAUAGCUAGACGGAAAAACAUAUUUCCUGAGCUGGCAUGUGAAGGAAGCAAACAAAAGGACUGCACUCACACGGAACCAUGAAGCCAACGAUCUAUGUCAACCAGAUGUUUUAGAUUUCAUUUUGCACAAUUGAUGUCUCAUACUUGCAUCUUUUACCUUCUGUGAACCUGAUGCAUGGUGUCAUGGUGGUUAUGUUUAGAAGACUGAAGUGUAUGUAUGUGACAAAUAGUUAAUGGAAUAAAAAAAUGUUUGGUGCACCUGAUGUGAGCCUGAUGUAUGGUGUCUUGGUGAUUAUACUUAGAACACAUGAACUAUAUGUAUGUGACAAUCA